CCUACGGGGGGCUGCAGUGGGGAAUUUUGGACAAUGGGGGCAACCCUGAUCCAGCCAUUCCGCGUGAGUGAAGAAGGCCUUCGGGUUGUAAAGCUCUUUCGGCCGGGAAGAAAUCGCAUCUCCUAAUACGGGGUGUGGAUGACGGUACCGGAAGAAGAAGCACCGGCUAACUACGUGCCAGCAGCCGCGGUAAUACGUAGGGUGCGAGCGUUAAUCGAAAUUACGCGGCGUAAUCAGUGAGACAGAUGUGACAUCCCCGGGCUUAACCUGGGAACUGCGUUUGUGACUGGUGGGCUUGAGUGCGGCAGAGGGGGGUGGAAUUCCACGUGUAGCAGUGAAAUGCGUAGAGAUGUGGAGGAACACCGAUGGCGAAGGCAGCCCCCUGGGUCGACACUGACGCUCAUGCACGAAAGCGUGGGGAGCAAACAGGAUUAGAUACCCCUGUAGUC
RNAcentral lists this ribosomal RNA (449 nucleotides) under uncultured bacterium. RNAcentral's name for it is "partial 16S ribosomal RNA". It matches the Rfam family "Bacterial small subunit ribosomal RNA", at positions 338 to 795 of the family's 1533-position model. The record is from RNAcentral.